UAAAGAUCGUUGAGGAAAGAGCUCGUUUUGAUAAGAACCCCAAGGAAUUCCGGGAGUCAUACAAGGCAGAGCAAGAAAAGCUCCAGAAUCAAAUCGACUCAGCUAGGAACGCUCUUUCUGCUGUUACAAUAGAUCAUGAUCUUCGAGUUAAAAUCUCUAAGGUCUGUGCAGAACUGAACGUCGAUGGAUUGAGAGGUGAUAUAGUCACUAACAGGGCAGCAAGAGCGUUGGCUGCACCUGCUCAUGAUCUUCGAGUUAAAAUCUCCAAGGUCUGUGCAGAACUAAAUGUCGAUGGACUUAGAGGUGAUAUAGUCACUAACAGGGCAGCACGAGCGUUGGCUGCACUAAAAGGAAGAGAUAAGGUAACUCCGGAGGAUAUUGCCACUGUCAUUCCCAACUGCUUAAGACACAGACUGAGGAAGGAUCCUUUGGAGUCUAUUGACUCGGGUGUACUUGUUGUUGAGAAAUUUUAUGAGGUUUUCGCCUAAGGAGGUAACAGAAGGCUCUCUUUGGCUCUUGGCCAAGCUGUUUUAUAGAGUAAGAUACUUAUUUUUGGCUUUAUUUUCCAUUCACAAAUCAUCUAAAGAUUUGACAUUUGUAACACUAGACUAUUGAUUAAGCUUGCCUUUGUACUGUGCUUAAGAAAUGGGGUUCAGAAUUACCUGUAACCACUUGUAUUUGGUUAUGACUGCUCUAUUUUAUGAAAUGCUUCAUUUUCUUUUCUUUAGCAGCUAUUAUAAUUCCAUUUGUUCAGUCC
Molecule: long non-coding RNA, 757 nt
Filed under: Nicotiana benthamiana
Lineage: Eukaryota; Viridiplantae; Streptophyta; Magnoliopsida; Solanales; Solanaceae
Description: long non-coding RNA (NBEN_LNC039310)
Source: RNAcentral